Molecule: non-coding RNA, 98 nt
Organism: Diplogelasinospora grovesii
Lineage: Eukaryota; Fungi; Ascomycota; Sordariomycetes; Sordariales; Diplogelasinosporaceae
Source: the annotation of a GenBank genome assembly
GCCCGAUUAGCUCAGCUGGUUAGAGCGUCGUACUAAUAUGCGCUCAAAAGGCCAUAUAUGGUAUGCGAAGGUCAACAGUUCAAUCCUGUUAUUGGGCA